GAAGACAGUGUAGUCGACAGAAAAGACAGUGUCAAUGUCAAUGGCGGUGAUGGUGAUCGUGGUGGUUCGGUGAAGAAAAGAGGCAGCACCACCACCACCGCCGCCGCCGCCGGAAAACCUCCAAGAGCAAAGAAACAAAAGAAGACUCCUUCUACACCAAAAGAAAACGGUAACUCUUCUUCUCAACGUCCAAAAACAAUGAAAAGAAGCAUGGAUGUGGUCAUAAACGGAAUAGACAUGGACAUAUCUGGGAUUCCGAUACCUGUGUGUUCAUGCACCGGAGCUUCACAACAAUGUUACCGGUGGGGCUCCGGUGGGUGGCAGUCCGCCUGUUGCACCACCACCAUCUCCAUGCAUCCACUUCCGAUGAGCACCAAACGCCGUGGGGCAAGGAUUGCCGGGAGGAAGAUG
RNAcentral lists this long non-coding RNA (411 nucleotides) under Lactuca sativa (garden lettuce). RNAcentral's name for it is "long non-coding RNA (LSAT_LNC007989)". The record is from RNAcentral. Lineage: Eukaryota; Viridiplantae; Streptophyta; Magnoliopsida; Asterales; Asteraceae.